CGGAGGAUCCGAGCGUUAUCCGGAUUCAUUGGGUUUAAAGGGUGCGUAGGCGGAAUAGUAAGUCAGUGGUGAAAUCCUGUCGCUUAACGACAGAACUGCCAUUGAUACUGCUAAUCUUGAGUACAUUUGAAGUGGGCGGAAUGUGUAGUGUAGUGGUGAAAUACUUAGAUAUUACACAGAACACCGAUUGCGAAGGCAGCUCACUAAACUGUAACUGACGCUGAGGCACGAAAGCGUGGGAUCAAACAGGAUUAGAUACCCUGGUAGUCCACGCUGUAAACGUUGAUAACUCGUUGUUGGCGAUAUACUGUCAGCGACUAAGCGAAAGUGAUAAGUUAUCCACCUGGGGAGUACGGUCGCAAGAUUG
RNAcentral lists this ribosomal RNA (367 nucleotides) under uncultured organism. RNAcentral describes it as "bacterial SSU rRNA". It matches the Rfam family "Bacterial small subunit ribosomal RNA", at positions 526 to 896 of the family's 1533-position model. The record is from RNAcentral.